Molecule: ribosomal RNA, 492 nt
Filed under: uncultured bacterium
Lineage: Bacteria
Description: partial 16S ribosomal RNA
Rfam family: Bacterial small subunit ribosomal RNA
Source: RNAcentral
GAUGAACGCUAGCUACAGGCUUAACACAUGCAAGUCGAGGGGAAACGCCAUCGAAAGCUUGCUUUUGAUGGGCGUCGACCGGCGCACGGGUGAGUAACGCGUAUCCAACCUGCCCAUCACUUGGGAAUAACCUUGCGAAAGUAAGACUAAUACCCAAUGACAUCCCACGAAGACAUCUGAAUGGGAUUAAAGAUUUAUCGGUGAUGGAUGGGGAUGCGUCUGAUUAGCUUGUUGGCGGGGUAACGGCCCACCAAGGCAACGAUCAGUAGGGGUUCUGAGAGGAAGGGCCCCCACAUUGGAACUGAGACACGGUCCAAACUCCUACGGGAGGCAGCAGUGAGGAAUAGUGAUCAAUGGGCGAGAGCCUGAACCAGCCAAGUAGCGUGCAGGAUGACGGCCCUAUGGGUUGUAAACUGCUUUUAUAAGGGAAUAAAGUGGGUCUCGUGAGACUUUUUGCAUGUACCUUAUGAAUAAGGACCGGCUAAUUCCGUG